AGGGUUUGAUCAUGGCUCAGAACGAACGCUGGCGGCAUGCCUAACACAUGCAAGUCGAACGCUAUCUUGUAUAGAGUGGCGCACGGGUGAGUAACGCGUGGGAACCUGCCUUUCUCUGCGGGACAACGGUUGGAAACGACCGCUAAUACCGCAUACGCCCUACGGGGGAAAGGUCAGCCGGAGAAAGAGGGGCCCGCGUUAGAUUAGCUAGUUGGUGGGGUAAUUGCCUACCAAGGCGACGAUCUAUAGCUGGUCUGAGAGGAUGAUCAGCCACACUGGGACUGAGACACGGCCCAGACUCCUACGGGAGGCAGCAGUGGGGAAUAUUGGACAAUGGGGGCAACCCUGAUCCAGCAAUGCCGCGUGUGUGAUGAAGGCCCUAGGGUUGUAAAGCACUUUCACUGGUGAAGAUGAUGACGGUAACCAGAGAAGAAGCCCCGGCUAACUUCGUGCCAGCAGCCGCGGUAAUACGAAGGGGGCGAGCGUUGUUCGGAAUUACUGGGCGUAAAGGGCGUGCAGGCGGAUUGGUAAGCCGGAGGUGAAAGCCCGGGGCUCAACCCCGGAGGGUCUUUCGGAACUGCCAGUCUUGAGAGGGUCAGGGGCCAGCGGAAUUCCUGGUGUAGAGGUGAAAUUCGUAGAGAUCAGGAGGAACACCGGCGGCGAAAGCGGCUGGCUGGGGCCACUCUGACGCUGAGGCGCGAAAGCAUGGGUAGCGAAGAGGAUUAGAUACCCUCGUAGUCCAUGCCGUAAACGAUGUGUGUUAGACGUUGGAAAUUUAUUUUCAGUGUCGCAGCGAAAGCAUUAAACACACCGCCUGGGGAGUACGACCGCAAGGUUAAAACUCAAAUGAAUUGACGGGGACCCGCACAAGUAGUGGAGCAUGUGGUUUAAUUCGAAGAUACGCGCAGAACCUUACCAACACUUGACAUGUUUGUCGCGACUCUAAGAGAUUAGAGUCUUCGGUUCGGCCGGACAAAACACAGGUGCUGCAUGGCUGUCGUCAGCUCGUGUCGUGAGAUGUUGGGUUAAGUCCCGCAACGAGCGCAACCCUCACUUUUAGUUGCCAUCAUUAAGUUGGGCACUCUGAAAGAACUGCCAGUGAUAAGCUGGAGGAAGGUGGGGAUGACGUCAAGUCCUCAUGGCCCUUACGUGUUGGGCUACACACGUGCUACAAUGGCAUUUACAAUAGGAAGCAAGAUGGCGACAUCAAGCAAAUCCUAAAAAGAUGCCUCAGUUCGGAUUGUACUCUGCAACUCGAGUACAUGAAGCUGGAAUUACUAGUAAUCGCGGAUCAGCGCGCCGCGGUGAAUACGUUCCCGGGUCUUGUACACACCGCCCGUCACACCAUGGGAGUUGGUUCUACCUUAAGGCAAGGUUUUAAACCCUUGACUACGGUAUAGUCAGCGACUGGGGUGAAGUCGUAACAAGGUAACCGUA
Molecule: ribosomal RNA, 1437 nt
Filed under: uncultured bacterium
Lineage: Bacteria
Description: partial 16S ribosomal RNA
Rfam family: Bacterial small subunit ribosomal RNA
Source: RNAcentral